Etheostoma spectabile (orangethroat darter) is the source of this 73-nucleotide non-coding RNA. The record is from the annotation of a RefSeq genome assembly. Lineage: Eukaryota; Metazoa; Chordata; Actinopteri; Perciformes; Percidae.
AGGCUAGUGGCGCAAUGGAUAACGCGUCUGAUUACGAAUCAGAAGAUUCUAGGUUUGAAUCCUGGCUAGCUCA